CUGGGAGUGGCGCGGCUGCUUCCCGCCCGCGCAGGAUCAGGCCGGCCCCCGCGGGCCUGGAGCUGGAUCCAGAGCUAGGGAAACUGGAAAAACAGGCACAAACUCGGAAGCCGCGGUACGGCAAGAGCCUAAGCAAAGAAUCCUUUCCAAGAUUCACACCUCGUCUACACCAGGGCACCGCCUGGGCCUACGGCCUUCCGAACCCGAAGCGCCCGCAGCCCAGAGCUGGCAUCAGGCCAUCAGGCCGGGAAGGUCGUCGCAGGCCCCAGAGUGCGGGCGCGGGGGGCGCGCGCCCACAGGACGCCCGGGGUUGGGUAGGCAGGAGAGAAGGGCGCCAGCAGGCCCGCGGCUGUUUCCCCUCGGUCCGCACAGCGGGCCCGGGAGGCCAUUUUGAGAGCGCGAAGAGGGGCGGCAAGAUGGCUGCGUGGGCACCCGGAAGGUCGCCGCGCCAAGGGCCCGCUGAGCCCCUCCUCCCAUUCGUCCAGCCGCGCGGCCCACAGAAGCGGAACGCGCGUCGAGAGCGCCCUGUCCGCUCGCCCCAGACAGAUGCCCGGUUAUUCAUUACCGCGAGGCCUAGAGGAAAGAGUGGCUGCCGUCUUCCUGCCCACAGCCCGCCGGACCCUCCGUCGCGGCUGCCCGGUCCCCGGAGCCGCAGCCGCCGAGCCCGGCUGUGCGUGUCGUGGCUGCUGGGGAGAAAGAGGCUUCCGGACAUGCUCUGGAGUCAGAAGACAGCGAAAAGAGAAGCAGAAGCCCCGGUGGCAAGAGUCUGAAGCAGGAAGGAUGACUGUAGCCUGUGGAUUGUACUGCAGUAGGAAACUGUCCUAGCAAGGCUCCACUUUGCCCCAGCUUCAAGCUGGAAAGGAGGAGAACAUGAAACAUUGCUUGAAGACAAUGGCCGAGACAGCAGGUCCCACCCUGCACAGCCACCAGCAUCUCUCCCCUCAGCCCUGUCUCCUCUUCUGCAGUUGGGAUCUGCACAUUUAAGCCUGAAAUUGUCCUGUGAAGUGAAGUAUGAUCGGACAGCCUCUUUUCAGCUUUUAUGACAAUGGAGACAGAGGAAUUGUGGCUCUUGCCAAGGUCACAGGAUUGGAAUACAGAGCCAAGCCACCCCAGGACAUGCAAGAGCCUCAGAAGGGAAAAAAGCCCAGCAGGAAGGGAGAACAAGUAGCCUCUGUCCUGAAGUUGUAACAGCCAGGGGCCAGGAUGGAGGAGGAGGACCCCAUAAUCUGCCCAUCUGGGACUUGGCAGGGGACCUGGGAAAAUGUACCCCAACCCAUCCCUUAAGGGCCUUUGUCUUUGGCCCAUUGGCCUAGCAUCUACUUCUUCACCGUGUCUGUUCUUGUCACACCUAGUCAGGUCUGUUUGGGUCUGAGGUGCAUGGAACAUUCUGGGUAGGCCUCCAGCAAACGGAAGCUCUUCACCGUGUUUCCAGCCUGGGACCAAGGGCAGCAUACUGGCAAAGUUGCCAAAGCAAGGGACUCCAGCCUCUUAGGAGUUAAUGACUCCCUCUCCCCAGCUGUCCUCCCCUUGGUGCUCCUCUUCCUCCCUCCUCCUGCUCACAGCAGGCAGGGCCUAGACCCGGGAGCCAUGCUGCUGUGCUGUUGCCAGGGGAGCACGGAGGCAGAUCUGAGCUAUGCAGGGAAAAGGCCCAGCCUGUCAAAGUGUCUGAGAUGAACCGCCGCCGUCCCUGUGCAGCUGGGCUCAGACGUGUCUCAGCUCUUGUUCUGUGCCUGAGAAUGGCGAAACCCAGUGAGGUUCAAGGGCAAACUCGCUAUUCAUUAGUCAGGGGUUCUUGACGUCCCGUCUCUCCCAGGGAUGAGUUCCCCCCUCCUCUUUCUCCCCCUCCUAUGACACAUUCCUGGGUGCCUUUGGUGAGGACUGCACACCCUCCUCCUGCCUAGCCCCCUCUCCAAAGGCCCCUGAAUAAACUCCCCCCAAGGAGACCAGGCAGGGCAGAGACAAUGGCUGCAGGAAAUCAUUCAGGCGGGACAUGCUGGCCUGCCCUCCACCCAGUCCCCCUGUGGGCCCCACUCCCUUCUGAUUCAGGGCACCCUUGGGCCCCCAGCCUAUACAGGCCUGGACAGGAAGAAACCACUGGGAACCACCCUAAGGACAACAUGCUAGUCCAGUGCCAUUCUUCGCUGGCUCUGUGGGUGCCUUUGUGGCCUGUACCGACUGGCUGGCUAAUUUUGUGGUUUCUGUACCAUCACAUGCCUAUUUUAAGACACUCUCCAGCACUGUCGGUUAGGGAGUGUAAAUUUUGCAAUAUUUUCUGAAAUGUGGCAAUAUCAAAAUGUAAAAGGCACACAUACUUGGUCACAAACAAAUGGCACUAUUUACUCUGUGGGCAUAUUUGUAAAAGUUGCCAAAGAAUUAUAUACAAGGAUGUUCAUCAGAGCAUUUCUUUUGAAGAGUAAAGAAAUGGACAUGAACCUGUGGUCCGUUCAUACGGUGGAAUACCUAUGCAGCUGUAAAAAUCAGUGUGGUAGAUCUCCGUAUAUGAGUUGAUGUGGAAGGUUGGCCAGUUCACAUGAUAAGGUGAAUAGAAUAAGUUACAGAACAGGCUGUAGAGUAUGAUCUUAUUUGUAGAUGUUUAAAACUGAGUCAUAAGUAUGCUUAUAUACAGAUCGUUUCUGGAAGUAUGUACUGGAAGUCUACCUCUGGGGAGUGGGGAUGGGGGAGUGCACUCUUCUAUACUGUUAUAUUUUCUUUUCAUGCUCCUAAGGUACUUUUAUUGGAAGAUGUAAAGCGGUUCAAUG
Homo sapiens (human) is the source of this 2759-nucleotide long non-coding RNA. Ensembl annotates it as MIR9-3 host gene. Its record names the gene MIR9-3HG. The record is from Ensembl. Lineage: Eukaryota; Metazoa; Chordata; Mammalia; Primates; Hominidae.